AGAUUCAUCGUCAGCGGUACUGGUACGUGUGCGGUUCGCGAUGUCCGAGACCUCGGUCUCGUGGCACGCGUCCGCAUGUUUUUAUUGCCUGGUAUCGUCGGCGUGCACUUCUCCCCUAGUAGGACGUCGCGACCCGUUGGGUGUCGGUCUACGGCCCGGGUGGGCGCCUGUCCCGUGUGCGCUUUAUCGCGUCACUGCGGGAGAGACCCCCGGUAUUGCCUGACCGGCUGCUCGGCGGUACUCGCAAGGUAUCUGGCCGCAAAAUAUUCGAACUGCGUCCGGCCCGUCGCAAGCGAGGCGAGUGUUCCCGAAUGUACGGAUCUAAUGCCGUCAUCGGGCCUAGCCAGCUGUUGGUUGACGGUGUCCUCGGACUGGCUAUAAAAUUAUGAUACCGGUCAGCGACGCUACUGCUUUGGGUACUUUCAGGACCCGUCUUGAAACACGGACCAAGGAGUCUAACAUGUGCGCGAGUCAUUGGGAACUAUUAAGCCUAAAGGCGCAAUGAAAGUGAAGGUCGGCCUUGCGCCGACCGAGGGAGGAUGGGCCGCGUCACGAUGCGGUCCCGCACUCCCGGGGCGUCUCGUUCUCAUUGCGAGAAGAGGCGCACCCAGAGCGUAC
This 618-nucleotide ribosomal RNA is filed under the name Iseropus stercorator. Its description in RNAcentral is "partial large subunit ribosomal RNA". It matches the Rfam family "Eukaryotic large subunit ribosomal RNA", at positions 595 to 805 of the family's 3401-position model. The record is from RNAcentral. Lineage: Eukaryota; Metazoa; Arthropoda; Insecta; Hymenoptera; Ichneumonidae.